GGCUCUUCCGGGGCCCGCCCGGCCCUCUGCGGCUCGGAGCGGCCCCGGGGAUCGCCCUGCUGUCGCCUCCAUCUCUCCUCCUCGCAGACUCCGCGGCGCAUCCCGUACGAGGAGGCUGUCGUGCAGGAAUUCGGGCCGGCUCAAGUGGGAGAGUCUGUCGGGCCCACGAGGCUCCCGUUCCAGACCUGCGGGCUGUGCAUUGGCUGCCAAUGACUCGUGGCCCCUGGGGCUGUGACUCCCACCCCGGCUCCAGGUCCCCCCUGCAGCCCUGCGCCCCGGCCUCUCUCCACAGCAGGGAAGGAGCUGUGGUGACAGGAGGAGAGAAUCUGGAACUAGGUGAUAUUUAAGGUCCCUUCCAGCCCAGGCCCUUCUGUGGUUCUGUGAACCUGCUGUCCCAGAACACAGUGAGUCCCUGGAGGGGCUGAAGCCAUAGCAGAGCCCUGCUCGUGGCUCCCUAUUCAGGGGUGUAGGACUAGCAGCACGGAUUUUUGCUAGGAAAGCCACCUCUUUUUGAGGAGACAUGGUGCAGUGGCUUACAAAUCAGUGCUGACUUCUUUAUUUUUAAAUUCAGAAUCUUCCCCCACAUUUUAAAUAUCUGCCAGUGUUAAAUUUCUCUACUUAAAAAAAUAUAUAUCCCAUAUGUGAAUUUCUGGAGUGAAAUGCACCAAGACCCCCCCCCCCCCACCCCCAGUCCCUCCUCCUUCUCUUGCCCACACACACACACACAUACACACAGACAGAGCAGCUCUGUCAAUACUGGCUUGGUAUUUCCCAUGAUGUUUUCUCCAACACAGAAAGGGAAAAAUACAUCAGCACAAUCAGCCCCAGCUGAGUUGCUCAGCAACACUUCCCAAAAGCGAAGAUCCUUGGAGCUGGAAGACAAGGUGGAUAAAAAUUACCCACCAGGAAAAAAGCCAAACAUUUUAAAAAAUUAAAAUUAUAUACUCUA
Taeniopygia guttata (zebra finch) is the source of this 949-nucleotide non-coding RNA. Lineage: Eukaryota; Metazoa; Chordata; Aves; Passeriformes; Estrildidae. The record is from RefSeq and is a predicted model, not a curated record.